UCUUGCCCACAAGAUCUGGGUAUUGCCUUCGUAGAUCAUCAAUAUCUUCCCAGGUAGCAUCUUCUAUAUUUGCUCCUUUCCAUUGAAUGAGUAGUUCAGCUCCAGCCCUAUGCCCCUUUCUUUUGAUUCUUCGCUGUAGGACCUGUUCUGGUUCAGGAAUGAGAGUUCCUUCAGUAGUGACUUGAGGAAGUGUUGGUAUAGGCUGGACUUUAUCUCCAAGAUGUUUCUUGAGACAUGAAACAUGGAAGGUAGGAAAGAUUCGAGAUUCUUUGGGAAGAUCUAGUGUAUAUGCAACUUUUCCAAUUUUUCGAAGGAUUUGAAAAGGCCCGUAGUAGCGAGGUGAGAGCUUCAAGUUUCUUCGCAUGGCUACGGACAAUUGACGAUAGGGCUUCAAUCUCAGAUUUUCUCGUAUCAGUUUGGCGAUGAAGUCCCUGUUUCGCAGUUCCUCCUCAACUGCGUGCACUCUGGUUGUUCCUGGCUCAUAAGGCAACAAUUGGGGUGGAGGUUGUCCGUAAACAGCCUCAUAUGGAAGAGGUUGAAGCAACCCCGCUGGGUGGAGGGUUUCAACCUUGUUCCUCUGGCAUACAUCGCACUCUCGAAUGAAAGUUCUUACAUCACUGCGCUGACCAGGCCAAAAAAAUUCCCUUUUAAUCUUUGAAUUUGUUUUAUGAACUCCCGUGUGACCCCCUAAUGGAUUGCUGUGAAAAUACUGCAGGAUCUGCUGCUGGAAUGGCACGAGGGUUCCCAAGUGAAGCCUACCCUUGUAAAAGAGUAGCUCAUUGCGAACUUGGUAUACUGCUGAAUCCAAGGUCCCUUGAUGGUAGAGGUUAAUUAACCUCUGCAACAUUGGAUCUUGGUGGUAAGACUUUUUUAACUCAUCUAUCCAUGUUGCUUUGAUCAUACUGACUGCCUGAAUU
Molecule: long non-coding RNA, 917 nt
Organism: Carya illinoinensis
Lineage: Eukaryota; Viridiplantae; Streptophyta; Magnoliopsida; Fagales; Juglandaceae
Exons: 3
Source: RefSeq, a predicted model, not a curated record